CCUACGGGUGGCAGCAGUAAGGAAUAUUGCUCAAUGGGGGAAACCCUGAAGCAGCAACGCCGCGUGGAGGAUGCAGGUUUUCCGAUUGUAAACUCCUUUUUAUAGAGAAGAUAAUGACGGUAUCUGACGAAUAAGCACCGGCUAACUUCGUGCCAGCAGCCGCGGUAAUACGGAGGCUGCAAGCGUUACUCGGAAUCACUGGGCGUAAAGCGCGCGUAGGCGGGAUAGCAAGUCAGAUGUGAAAUCCUAUGGCUUAACCAUAGAACUGCAUUUGAAACUGUGAGUCUAGAGUAUGGGAGAGGUAGGUGGAAUUCGUGGUGUAGGGGUAAAAUGCGUAGAGAUCAAGAGGAAUUCUGAUUGCGAAGGCGACCUGCUAGAACAUAACUGACGCUGAUGCGCGAAAGCGUGGGGAGCAAACAGGAUUAGAUACCCGGGUAGUC
RNAcentral lists this ribosomal RNA (440 nucleotides) under uncultured bacterium. RNAcentral's name for it is "partial 16S ribosomal RNA". It matches the Rfam family "Bacterial small subunit ribosomal RNA", at positions 338 to 795 of the family's 1533-position model. The record is from RNAcentral.